This 262-nucleotide ribosomal RNA is filed under the name uncultured bacterium. RNAcentral's name for it is "partial 16S ribosomal RNA". It matches the Rfam family "Bacterial small subunit ribosomal RNA", at positions 524 to 785 of the family's 1533-position model. The record is from RNAcentral.
UACGGUGGGGGCUAGCGUUAUUCGGAAUUAUUGGGCGUAAAGGGCGUGUAGGCGGCUUUGUAAGUCUUGUGUGAAAGCCCUCGGCUCAACCGGGGAAUUGCACGAGAAACUGCGAGGCUUGAGUCCGGGAGAGGAAAGUGGAAUUCCCAGUGUAGCGGUGAAAUGCGUAGAUAUUGGGAGGAACACCAGUGGCGAAGGCGGCUUUCUGGACCGGUACUGACGCUGAGACGCGAAAGCCAGGGGAGCAAACGGGAUUAGAACU